RNAcentral lists this ribosomal RNA (457 nucleotides) under Lachnoanaerobaculum saburreum. RNAcentral describes it as "bacterial SSU rRNA". It matches the Rfam family "Bacterial small subunit ribosomal RNA", at positions 28 to 465 of the family's 1533-position model. Lineage: Bacteria; Bacillati; Bacillota; Clostridia; Lachnospirales; Lachnospiraceae. The record is from RNAcentral.
GAUGAACGCUGGCGGCGUGCUUAACACAUGCAAGUCGAACGAAGCUGUUAAAAGGAAGUUUUCGGAUGGAAUUUUAACAGACUUAGUGGCGGACGGGUGAGUAACGCGUGGAUAACCUGCCUUAUACAGGGGGAUAACGGAGAGAAAUUUCCGCUAAGACCGCAUAAGACCACAGCACCGCAUGGUGCAGGGGUAAAAUAUUAAUAGGUAUAAGAUGGAUCCGCGUCCGAUUAGCUGGUUGGUGAGGUAGAGGCUCACCAAGGCGACGAUCGGUAGCCGGCCUGAGAGGGUGAACGGCCACAUUGGGACUGAGACACGGCCCAAACUCCUACGGGAGGCAGCAGUGGGGAAUAUUGGACAAUGGGGGAAACCCUGAUCCAGCGACGCCGCGUGAGUGAAGAAGUAUUUCGGUAUGUAAAGCUCUAUCAGCAGGGAAGAAAAUGACGUACCUGACUAG